GUACCUUCAAGCCUAGCUUGGUGUUGGGGCACCCGGGAGCCGAGAGGCCCCGGGGCCCCCAAGUACAUCGGCGGUCUCGCCUGGACCCUGAACGCAGUAACUCGCGGUAAAACGCGCUUCGUUUGGCGGACUCCUAGCGGGCACUUGCCGCUAAACCCCCUUUUUUCUAA
This 170-nucleotide unclassified non-coding RNA is filed under the name uncultured Magnaporthales. Its description in RNAcentral is "sequence contains ITS2". Lineage: Eukaryota; Fungi; Ascomycota; Sordariomycetes; Magnaporthales. The record is from RNAcentral.